GAGGGUAGUGGUGUAGUGGAAGCACGUCAGUCCCAAGAACUGCAGGCGAAGGUUCGAACCCUUCCUAUUCUCUC
This 74-nucleotide transfer RNA is filed under the name Stieleria varia. Its description in RNAcentral is "Planctomycetes bacterium Pla52n tRNA-Leu". It matches the Rfam family "tRNA". From Rfam's summary of the family: Transfer RNA (tRNA) molecules are approximately 80 nucleotides in length. Their secondary structure includes four short double-helical elements and three loops (D, anti-codon, and T loops). Further hydrogen bonds mediate the characteristic L-shaped molecular structure. tRNAs have two regions of fundamental functional importance: the anti-codon, which is responsible for specific mRNA codon recognition, and the 3' end, to which the tRNAs corresponding amino acid is attached (by aminoacyl-tRNA synthetases). tRNAs cope with the degeneracy of the genetic code in two manners: having more than one tRNA (with a specific anti-codon) for a particular amino acid; and 'wobble' base-pairing, i.e. permitting non-standard base-pairing at the 3rd anti-codon position. The record is from RNAcentral. Lineage: Bacteria; Pseudomonadati; Planctomycetota; Planctomycetia; Pirellulales; Pirellulaceae.